AGUAAUUAACUUUAGGAAAGUAAAGGCCCUAGAGGCUUCUGAAAAGAUUUCCUUACUCUCAAUUCUCCCUGAGCAUUGCUUGAUAUUUGCCUCCCCCUGAGCUGUAGAGCCCAAAGGGAAGAUGAGAAGCAAGUCCUGCUGAUAUGGAUGCGGAUCACAUUUGCGUGACUCAGAGCUGUGGGGAGGCCAUCUGUUGAGAUGAGAACCUGUGAAGAUGGAAGGAACCUAGAUGUUUGAGUCAUGGGGUGGAGAAGAGACCAUGUAAACCUACAUUGAAAUUUGUGUGACUCCCUCCCCCUCAACCAGCUUAGAAGUCGGGUGGAAGAGGAAGCUGGAUGGAACAACAUGAGCCCUGGUCAGGGCAGACUUAAGCCAGGAGAUGAAGUGCCAUAUACAGAGAAAACCUCAGUGGGAUCCCAGAUGGAGCACAAUUCCUGAUGCUUAAGGUGGGAAGAGAAGCUGGAAACCUAGAAUUAUUUCAACUCAAUCACCAGCCAUUCACUGACUUUUUACCAUGUAUAAAUCCUGAUCAACCUCAAAAAGAGUAAUAUUAAGUUUGAUUCUUACACUUUUUAAAAAAAAUAUAUCCAAGAUACAACUAUCAAAAGAUGGCCCAGAAUCAACUGCCAGAUUAACUAUAUGGCCCAUAGAUAAUGAUAGAGGAGGGAACUUAAAAAACUACUUUCUUGUGCAAAAAUUAUACCUGUCACAAAAUAAAGAUAAAGUGGAGCACUA
Long non-coding RNA from Homo sapiens (human), 735 nucleotides. Ensembl annotates it as long intergenic non-protein coding RNA 1182. Lineage: Eukaryota; Metazoa; Chordata; Mammalia; Primates; Hominidae. The record is from Ensembl.